AUUUCCAUUGAAGAAGUCAAACAACAUGGAUGGGGCAGCGGUGGGCUGAACCCCCUAAAGUGGCAUGCAGUUAAUCAUAGAAGCAGCAUGUUUUGGGCUCUGACUCGGAGUGGCUGUUUGCCUCUCUGGUUUUCUGGUAGGCUUGCCUCAGCUCCUUAAGUUUCAUGUGGCACUGCUUCGGGUCCCUGUUAUGGUCUCUGUCCUUCAUG
Molecule: long non-coding RNA, 209 nt
Organism: Chelonia mydas (Green sea turtle)
Lineage: Eukaryota; Metazoa; Chordata; Testudines; Cheloniidae
Exons: 3
Source: RefSeq, a predicted model, not a curated record